This 859-nucleotide ribosomal RNA is filed under the name uncultured bacterium. RNAcentral's name for it is "bacterial SSU rRNA". It matches the Rfam family "Bacterial small subunit ribosomal RNA", at positions 28 to 897 of the family's 1533-position model. The record is from RNAcentral.
GACGAACGCUGGCGGCGUGCUUAACACAUGCAAGUCGAACGAUGAUGACGGGGCUUGCCUCGUCGGAUUAGUGGCGAACGGGUGAGUAACACGUGAGUAACCUGCCCCAGACUCUGGGAUAACUCCGGGAAACCGGAGCUAAUACCGGAUACGACAUUUGGCCGCAUGGUCGGGUGUGGAAAGUUUUUCGGUUUGGGAUGGGCUCGCGGCCUAUCAGCUUGUUGGUGAGGUAGUGGCUCACCAAGGCGACGACGGGUAGCCGGCCUGAGAGGGCGACCGGCCACACUGGGACUGAGACACGGCCCAGACUCCUACGGGAGGCAGCAGUGGGGAAUAUUGCACAAUGGGCGAAAGCCUGAUGCAGCGACGCCGCGUGAGGGAUGACGGCCUUCGGGUUGUGAACCUCUUUCAGCAGGGAAGAAGCGCAAGUGACGGUACCUGCAGAAGAAGCACCGGCUAACUACGUGCCAGCAGCCGCGGUAAUACGUAGGGUGCGAGCGUUGUCCGGAAUUAUUGGGCGUAAAGAGCUUGUAGGCGGUUUGUCGCGUCUGCUGUGAAAAUCCGGGGCUCAACUCCGGACUUGCAGUGGGUACGGGCAGACUAGAGUGUGGUAGGGGAGACUGGAAUUCCUGGUGUAGCGGUGGAAUGCGCAGAUAUCAGGAGGAACACCGAUGGCGAAGGCAGGUCUCUGGGCCACUACUGACGCUGAGAAGCGAAAGCAUGGGGAGCGAACAGGAUUAGAUACCCUGGUAGUCCAUGCCGUAAACGUUGGGCGCUAGGUGUGGGACCCAUUCCACGGGUUCCGUGCCGCAGCUAACGCAUUAAGCGCCCCGCCUGGGGAGUACGGCCGCAAGGCUAA